ACUGCCCUCAAAAAACUCGGCAGAUGUGGCCACUGUGUGACAUGUGCGCCAGUAGGUGGCAGAGAGGAGAGCAGCCGUGUCUACAGUGCUCUGACCUAUGACCUUCUGAAGGAUUAGCAGCCUAACAAC
Small nucleolar RNA from Meriones unguiculatus (Mongolian gerbil), 129 nucleotides. NCBI's taxonomy places the organism in Eukaryota, Metazoa, Chordata, Mammalia, Rodentia, Muridae. The record is from Ensembl.